Molecule: ribosomal RNA, 301 nt
Filed under: uncultured bacterium
Lineage: Bacteria
Description: partial 16S ribosomal RNA
Rfam family: Bacterial small subunit ribosomal RNA
Source: RNAcentral
CAGCCGCCGCGGUAAGACAGAGGAUGCAAGCGUUAUCCGGAAUGAUUGGGCGUAAAGGGCUCGCAGGCGGUUUCUUAAGUCUGAUGUGAAAGCCCCCGGCUCAACCGGGGAGGGUCAUUGGAAACUGGGAAACUUGAGUGCAGAAGAGGAGAGUGGAAUUCCACGUGUAGCGGUGAGAUGCGUAGAGAUGUGGAGGAACACCGAUGGCGAAGGCAAUCCCCUGGGCCUGCACUGACGCUCAUGCACGAAAGCGUGGGGAGCAAACAGGAUUAGAUACUCGAGUAGUCCCUGUCUCUUAUAA